Molecule: long non-coding RNA, 469 nt
Organism: Malaya genurostris
Lineage: Eukaryota; Metazoa; Arthropoda; Insecta; Diptera; Culicidae
Exons: 3
Source: RefSeq, a predicted model, not a curated record
UGUCGAAGGGAUUUAACCCUGUUUGUGUUGUGAAUUUCUUCGACCUGCAUUCCCGGUAUGUUUGUCAGCUAGAGGGAAGGGUGAAGUGACGUUUCUAACUCGUUGAACAAUCAGAUAACAGGAAACAUCAAAUACUUGUUUCACGGCCUGUAAACACUGAUACUGUACUUGGUGCAAAGCUGUAGGAAGAUUGCCUACGCAUUCGUAUCGUUUUUAUUCUAAUGUCAAUACAACAAUCUGCUUCAUCUGCAAAAUUGGAUACCAUCCCGAAGAUAGCACAGCUUCUAAAAGGAGAUUGUAUUGUCGCUGUGAGCAACCCUGCUGGUAUGUGCUCUCUAACGGGUAUUAAAUUCAUCUUUGCCGAAUGCUAUUGUACCUCCGGCAUUGGUAACAUAUUCCGAACAUCACGAUGUUCGUGUUAUUGUGUCAUCUCUUCUGAUGUUUAUUCGAAAAUUUAGAUAAUGUUUCU